Molecule: ribosomal RNA, 474 nt
Filed under: Escherichia coli
Lineage: Bacteria; Pseudomonadati; Pseudomonadota; Gammaproteobacteria; Enterobacterales; Enterobacteriaceae
Description: partial 23S ribosomal RNA
Rfam family: Bacterial large subunit ribosomal RNA
Source: RNAcentral
CAUAGGUUAAUGAGGCGAACCGGGGGAACUGAAACAUCUAAGUACCCCGAGGAAAAGAAAUCAACCGAGAUUCCCCCAGUAGCGGCGAGCGAACGGGGAGGAGCCCAGAGCCUGAAUCAGUGUGUGUGUUAGUGGAAGCGUCUGGAAAGGCGCGCGAUACAGGGUGACAGCCCCGUACACAAAAAUGCACAUACUGUGAGCUCGAUGAGUAGGGCGGGACACGUGGUAUCCUGUCUGAAUAUGGGGGGACCAUCCUCCAAGGCUAAAUACUCCUGACUGACCGAUAGUGAACCAGUACCGUGAGGGAAAGGCGAAAAGAACCCCGGCGAGGGGAGUGAAAAAGAACCUGAAACCGUGUACGUACAAGCAGUGGGAGCCUCUUAAUGGGGUGACUGCGUACCUUUUGUAUAAUGGGUCAGCGACUUAUAUUCUGUAGCAAGGUUAACCGAAUAGGGGAGCCGAAGGGAAACCGAG